RNAcentral lists this ribosomal RNA (406 nucleotides) under uncultured bacterium. RNAcentral describes it as "partial 16S ribosomal RNA". It matches the Rfam family "Bacterial small subunit ribosomal RNA", at positions 30 to 526 of the family's 1533-position model. The record is from RNAcentral.
AUUGAACGCUGGCGGUAUGCUUAACACAUGCAAGUCGAACGAGUGGCGGACGGGUGAGUAAUGCAUAGGAAUCUACCUUUUAGUCUAGGAUAACUACCGGAAAGGAUUGCUAAUACUGCAUGCUAAGAGAUGAGCCUAUGUGGGAUUAGCUAGUUGGUGGGGUAAUGGCUCACCAAGGCGACGAUCGCUAGCUGGUUUGAGAGGAUGAUCAGCCACACUGGGACUGAGACACGGCCCAGAAGCCUACUGGAGGAAGCAGUGGGGAAUAUUGGACAAUGGGCGAAAGCCUGAUCCAGCAAUAACGCGUGGGGGAAGAAGGCCCUAGGGGUGUAAAGCACUUUUGUUAGGGAGAUGUUACCUAAAGAAUAAGCACCGGCUAACUCCGUGCCAGCCGCCGCGGUAAUUC